This 1593-nucleotide long non-coding RNA is filed under the name Phasianus colchicus (ring-necked pheasant). Its description in RNAcentral is "lncRNA (ENSPCLG00000017019.1)". The record is from RNAcentral. Lineage: Eukaryota; Metazoa; Chordata; Aves; Galliformes; Phasianidae.
AUGCUGCACCUCCUGCCGCAGGUACGGGGUCAUACGUGUGUCAUACGUGCGUCAUACGUGGGGUCGGGGGCGUGUCGGGCACGUGUGAAGUCGUGGGUGUGCUCAUAUGUGGGGUCAUGGGGGUGGGGGUGGUCACGGGUCAUGCGUGUGGUCAUAUGUGUGGUCACGGGUGUGUCUGGUCAUGUAUGUGGUCAUACAUGUGUCAUAUGUGGGGUCAUAGGUGUCUCAUACAUGUGUGAGGUCAUGGGUGUAUUCAUAUGUGGGGUCAUGGGGGUGGGGGUGGUCAUGUGUGGGGUCAUGCUGCACCUCCUGCCGCAGGUACGGGGUCAUACGUGUGUCAUACGUGCGUCAUACGUGGGGUCGGGGGCGUGUCGGGCACGUGUGAAGUCGUGGGUGUGCUCAUAUGUGGGGUCAUGGGUGCGUGUGUGGUCAUGUAUGCGGUCAGGUGUGUGGUCACAGGUCAUACAUGUAGUCAUAUGUGUGGUCAUGAGUGUGUCUUGUCAUGUAUGUGGUCACACACGUAACAUACAUGGGGUCAGGGGUGUGUGUGUGGUCAUACGUGUGGUCCUGCCACAGGUGGGGGUCAGAUGUGUGGGUCAUACGUGUGUCAUACGUGGGGUCAGGGGCGUGUCGUACGUGUGUGAGGUCAUAUGUGUGCACAUGUGUGUGCUCGUGGGUGCGUGUGGUCACAUAUGUGCUCAUACGUGUGAUCAUGGGCACGUGUGGUCACAUACGUGACUCCACAUGUGUGUAGAAAUGUGUGAGUGCCGCUACACGCGUGGUCAGAUGUGUGUCAGGUCACACGUGUGCACCCACAGACACAUGACCACACAUAUAAGCACGUGCAUGACACAGUCAUGAGCACAGUUAUGAUCACACAUGUAGCCAUAGCCACAUAUGUGACCACACACACAUGACCACAUGUAUGACCACAUACAUGACCUGACACACACAUGACUACAACCAUGACCACACACAUGGCCACAUACAUGACCAGACGCACACAUGACCACACAUACGACCACAUAGAUGGCCACAUACAUGACCAGACGCAUGCAUGAGCACACACAUGAUCACACACACGACCACACACACGGCCACAUACAUGACCAGACACACACACGACCACAUGUAUGACCACAUACAUGACCAGACGCACACAUGAACACACAUAUGACCACAUACAUGACCAGACGCACACGUGACCACACACAUGUCCACAUACAUGACCAGACACACACACGACCACACGUAUGACCGCAUACUUGACCAGACCACGUGUAUGACCACAUACAUGACCAGACGCACACACAAGCACACGUAUGACCACAUACGUGACAACAUACGCCCACACUCAGGCGUGGCACGCACCGAGGCGAGCGCACACGCGUGUAACACGCGUGUGCGCGUCAGUUCCUAGAGCUGCACGUGCACGAGGAGGCGGGGCAGGAGGAGCACACGCACGAGCACACGCGUGUGCAGCCGUGGCAGCUGCUGGUGGUGCUGGCGGCCAUCUUUUGCUUCUUCCUGAUGGAGAGGAGCCUCCGCAUCGCCGGCAGGGCGGCGAAGUGCUGGGUGAGGAUCGGGGGUAUU